AUUGAACGCUGGCGGCAGGCUUAACACAUGCAAGUCGAGCGGGGGAAGGUAGCUUGCUACCGGACCUAGCGGCGGACGGGUGAGUAAUGCUUAGGAAUCUGCCUAUUAGUGGGGGACAACAUCUCGAUAGGGAUGUUAAUACCGCAUACGUCCUACGGGAGAAAGCAGGGGGUCUUCGGACCUUGCGCUAAUAGAUGAGCCUAAUUCGGAUUAGCUAGGUGGUGGGGUAAAGGCCUACCAAGGCGCCGAUCUGUAGCGGGUCUGAGAGGAUGAUCCGCCACACUGGGACUGAGACACGGCCCAGACUCCUACGGGAGGCAGAAGUGGGGAAUAUUGGACAAUGGGGGGAACCCUGAUCCAGCCAUGCCGCGUGUGUGAGGAAGGCCUUAUGGUUGUAAAGCACUUUAAGCGAGGAGGAGGCUACUUUAGUUAAUACCUAGAGAUAGUGGACGUUACUCGCAGAAUAAGCACCGGCUAACUCUGUGCCAGCAGCCGCCGCAG
Molecule: ribosomal RNA, 501 nt
Filed under: uncultured bacterium
Lineage: Bacteria
Description: partial 16S ribosomal RNA
Rfam family: Bacterial small subunit ribosomal RNA
Source: RNAcentral